GAACGCUGGCGGCGUGCUUAACACAUGCAAGUCGAACGGAAAGGCCCUGCUUGCAGGGUACUCGAGUGGCGAACGGGUGAGUAACACGUGGGUGAUCUGCCCUGCACUUCGGGAUAAGCCUGGGUAACUGGGUCUAAUACCGUAUAGGAGCCAUUUUUAGUGUGAUGGUUGGAAAGUUUUUUCGGUGUAGGAUGAGCUCGCGGCCUAUCAGCUUGUUGGUGGGGGAAUGGCCUACCAAGGCGGCGACGGGUAGCCGGCCUGGGAGGGUGGACGGCCACAUUGGGGCUGGGAGACGGCCCAGACUCCUACGGGGGGCAGCAGUGGGGAAUAUUGCACAAUGGGCGCAAGCCUGAUGCAGCGACGCCGCGGGGGGGAUGACGGCCUUCGGGUUGUAAACUCCUUUCGCUAGGGACGAAGCUGUUUGUGACGGUACCUAGAUAAGAAGCACCGGCUAACUACGUG
This 462-nucleotide ribosomal RNA is filed under the name uncultured bacterium. RNAcentral describes it as "partial 16S ribosomal RNA". It matches the Rfam family "Bacterial small subunit ribosomal RNA", at positions 31 to 507 of the family's 1533-position model. The record is from RNAcentral.